UACGUAGGGGGCAAGCGUUAUCCGGACUUACUGGGUGUAAAGGGAGCGUAGACGGCAUAGCAAGUCUGAAGUGAAAGCCCGUGGCUCAACCGCGGAACUGCUUUGGAAACUGUUAAGCUGGAGUACUGGAGAGGCAAGCGGAAUUCCUAGUGUAGCGGUGAAAUGCGUAGAUAUUAGGAGGAACACCAGUGGCGAAGGCGGCUUGCUGGACAGAGACUGACGUUGAGGCUCGAAAGCGUGGGGAGCAAACAGG
RNAcentral lists this ribosomal RNA (253 nucleotides) under uncultured bacterium. Its description in RNAcentral is "partial 16S ribosomal RNA". It matches the Rfam family "Bacterial small subunit ribosomal RNA", at positions 524 to 776 of the family's 1533-position model. The record is from RNAcentral.